GCGGGGGUGGCGAAACAGGCAUACGCACCAGCCUCAGACGCCGGCGGGCCACGGCCCAUGCGGGUUCGACUCCCUCCGCCCGCACCA
This 87-nucleotide transfer RNA is filed under the name Actinomycetes bacterium. RNAcentral's name for it is "Actinobacteria bacterium tRNA-Leu". It matches the Rfam family "tRNA". From Rfam's summary of the family: Transfer RNA (tRNA) molecules are approximately 80 nucleotides in length. Their secondary structure includes four short double-helical elements and three loops (D, anti-codon, and T loops). Lineage: Bacteria; Bacillati; Actinomycetota; Actinomycetes. The record is from RNAcentral.